RNAcentral lists this ribosomal RNA (941 nucleotides) under uncultured Flavobacteriaceae bacterium. Its description in RNAcentral is "bacterial SSU rRNA". It matches the Rfam family "Bacterial small subunit ribosomal RNA", at positions 55 to 1002 of the family's 1533-position model. Lineage: Bacteria; Pseudomonadati; Bacteroidota; Flavobacteriia; Flavobacteriales; Flavobacteriaceae. The record is from RNAcentral.
AUGCAAGUCGAGGGGUAUAGUUCUUCGGAGCUAGAGACCGGCGCACGGGUGCUUAACGCGUAUGCAAUCUACCUUUUACAGAGGGAUAGCCCAGAGAAAUUUGGAUUAAUACCUCAUAGCAUAGCAGUAUCGCAUGAUACCACUAUUAAAGUUCCAACGGUAAAAGAUGAGCAUGCGUCCCAUUAGCUAGAUGGUAAGGUAACGGCUUACCAUGGCUACGAUGGGUAGGGGUCCUGAGAGGGAGAUCCCCCACACUGGUACUGAGACACGGACCAGACUCCUACGGGAGGCAGCAGUGAGGAAUAUUGGUCAAUGGGCGCAAGCCUGAACCAGCCAUGCCGCGUGCAGGAAGACGGUCCUAUGGAUUGUAAACUGCUUUUGCACAGGAAGAAACACUCCCUCGUGAGGGAGCUUGACGGUACUGUGAGAAUAAGGAUCGGCUAACUCCGUGCCAGCAGCCGCGGUAAUACGGAGGAUCCAAGCGUUAUCCGGAAUCAUUGGGUUUAAAGGGUCCGUAGGCGGUUUAGUAAGUCAGUGGUGAAAGCCCAUCGCUCAACGGUGGAACGGCCAUUGAUACUGCUAGACUUGAAUUAUAAGGAAGUAACUAGAAUAUGUAGUGUAGCGGUGAAAUGCUUAGAGAUUACAUGGAAUACCAAUUGCGAAGGCAGGUUACUACUUAUGGAUUGACGCUGAUGGACGAAAGCGUGGGUAGCGAACAGGAUUAGAUACCCUGGUAGUCCACGCCGUAAACGAUGGAUACUAGCUGUUGGGGGCAACUUCAGUGGCUAAGCGAAAGUGAUAAGUAUCCCACCUGGGGAGUACGUUCGCAAGAAUGAAACUCAAAGGAAUUGACGGGGGCCCGCACAAGCGGUGGAGCAUGUGGUUUAAUUCGAUGAUACGCGAGGAACCUUACCAAGGCUUAAAUGUAGUUUGACCGAACU